GAUGAACGCUGGCGGCGUGCCUAAUACAUGCAAGUCGAGCGAACAGACGAGGAGCUUGCUCCUCUGACGUUAGCGGCGGACGGGUGAGUAACACGUGGAUAACCUACCUAUAAGACUGGGAUAACUUCGGGAAACCGGAGCUAAUACCGGAUAAUAUAUUGAACCGCAUGGUUCAAUAGUGAAAGACGGUUUUGCUGUCACUAAUAGAUGGAUCCGCGCCGCAUUAGCUAGUUGGUAAGGUAACGGCUUACCAAGGCAACGAUGCGUAGCCGACCUGAGAGGGUGAUCGGCCACACUGGAACUGAGACACGGUCCAGACUCCUACGGGAGGCAGCAGUAGGGAAUCUUCCGCAAUGGGCGAAAGCUUGACGGAGCAACGCCGCGUGUGUGAUGAAGGUCUUCGGAUCGUAAAACUCUGUUAUUAGGGAAGAACAACUGUGUAAGUAACCAUGCACGUCUUGACGGUACCUAAUCAGAAAGCAACGGCUAACUACGUG
RNAcentral lists this ribosomal RNA (497 nucleotides) under uncultured bacterium. Its description in RNAcentral is "partial 16S ribosomal RNA". It matches the Rfam family "Bacterial small subunit ribosomal RNA", at positions 28 to 507 of the family's 1533-position model. The record is from RNAcentral.